This 253-nucleotide ribosomal RNA is filed under the name uncultured bacterium. RNAcentral's name for it is "partial 16S ribosomal RNA". It matches the Rfam family "Bacterial small subunit ribosomal RNA", at positions 524 to 776 of the family's 1533-position model. The record is from RNAcentral.
UACGGGGGGGGCAAGCGUUGUUCGGAAUUACUGGGCGUAAAGGGCUCGUAGGCGGCCAACUAAGUCAGACGUGAAAUCCCUAGGCUCAACCUAGGAACUGCGUCUGAUACUGGAUGGCUUGAAUCCGGGAGAGGUGAGUGGAAUUCCGAGUGUAGAGGUGAAAUUCGUAGAUAUUCGGAAGAACACCAGUGGCGAAGGCGGCUCACUGGACCGGCAUUGACGCUGAGGUGCGAAAGCGUGGGGAGCAAACAGG